GAAUUUCGAGGAAUUCCAGGCAGUUGAGGUGAUUCCGGCACGUGGACUUAACUACCUGGAAUUUUUGAUUCAUGAUUUUAUUUUUUUUGUAAUUCCAGGCACUUGAGGCAGACAAACAAACAGUUCGGUUCCAAUUUCCUAAAAUUAAACAAAAAAUUGGAAUCACGACUAUAUAGUGCCUAUAAUUUUGGCAUAUUUUUAGGAAUUACAGGCAGUUGAGAUAAUUCUUAGUCAUAGAUUCAAGUGCUUGGAAUUCUUGAUUAAUGAUUCUAUUUUAUUUACAAUUCCAGGCAAUUAAGGCAGUUGAGGCAGUCAAAGAGCUCAGUAUCUAUUGCUUGAAAGUAGAAAAUAAACAAGGAUUUACGAUUGUAUAGUUCCUAUAAUUUGGGGGAAAUUUAAAAGAAUUCUAGGCAGCUGAGGCAAUUAAGGCAAUUAAACAACUCACUCAAUUGCUUGUGAUUGGAAAAAAAACAGGAUUUACGACUGUCGAAUCACUAUAAUUUGGGGAACUUCGAGGAAUUCCAGACAGUUGAGGCACUUGAGGCAGACAAACAAACAGUUCAGUUCCAAUUUCCUAAAAUUAAACAAAAAAUUGGAAUUACGACUAUAUAGUGCCUAUAAUUUUGGCAUAUUUUUAGGAAUUACAGGCAGUUUAGAUAAUUCUUGAACAUAGGUUCAAGUGCCUGGAAUUCUUGAUUGAUGAUUUUAUUUUAUUUACAAUUCCAGGCAGUUAAGGCAAUUCAACAACAACUUUUAAUUGUUUGGGAUUGGAAAAAACCCAGGAUUUACAAAUGUAGAAUCCCUAUAAUUUCGAGAAUUUUGAGGAGUUCCAAGCAGUUGAGGUAAUUCCGGCUCCUGCUCGGGAACAACUGUCUGGAAUUCUUGUUUCAUGAUUUUAUUUUAUUUGUAAUUCCAGGCAGUUGAGGCCGACAAACAAACAGCUCUGUCCCAAUAACCUUAAGAAAAAAUAUUAAAGAAAAUCGUAUGUUUACAGUUUGUAUUCAUUUAAAAGAACUUUUGGUAAUUUAUUUUUGGAAGAAUCAAUAGGUUGAGGUAUCUUGUUGUUUAUUAUUUAUUAUUUUAAA
Molecule: long non-coding RNA, 1085 nt
Organism: Anthonomus grandis grandis
Lineage: Eukaryota; Metazoa; Arthropoda; Insecta; Coleoptera; Curculionidae
Exons: 4
Source: RefSeq, a predicted model, not a curated record